RNAcentral lists this long non-coding RNA (12287 nucleotides) under Prunus persica (peach). RNAcentral describes it as "long non-coding RNA (PPER_LNC002437)". Lineage: Eukaryota; Viridiplantae; Streptophyta; Magnoliopsida; Rosales; Rosaceae. The record is from RNAcentral.
AAUUUGGUUUUUUUUUGGUAAUAAAAUGAAAUUCCAAUAAAAAAAAUGAAUUGUAAAGAACACAUUUAUUAUAUAAAAUAAAAUAAAUGUAUGCUGCAAGAGAAAUAUUUAAAAAAUAAUUAUGAAAAUAAAAAAAUAAUCAAAUAAUGUUCCAAAAUCUACAUUGUCGUCUAGCACAUGCGGUUCAGAGGUCUGGGGGUCUACAUGGGCCGUCGUCUGGUGGGGAUGCUCGGGAUGGACGGGCUCGGAGGUCGGCGCAUCAAAAUGCGGGACUAGAAUGCCGGACUGUGCGAGGGACUGCAGAAUGACCGACAUUUGACUCUGAAGAGUGGCCACCUGUGAUGUCAAAGUAGUGACCUGACUGUUUGACUGCGCUGAUGAACGGGGUUUGGGUUCCCUCCGCCUGGCAUUCCCCAUCCCUCGACAAUAUGUCCCCGGUCUCCUCCCUAGAGUCUGAUCCAAUGUCUCCGUCAACAUCUAAAACCCAGCACCCUGUGGAGGAUCCACAGACUCGAUCGGAGUAUCAGGAGGAAGUUGGGAGGCGGACUCCUGAAGAACCAACUGGCUCUUCUCCACCAUCGUCGUCUGUUUAGCAUAACAUAAAAUAUAAAUUAAAACAUUCAUAUAAUAAACUUUAAACUUGAAUGUGUAACAUAAUAAUUAAAAUUAAAUAAUACUUACAUGAAGGGACUCGGCCAACUCAUUCCCAGGUCGAACAUAAACGUCGCCAAAGACGUCAAUCUCUGGGAAUUUGGACCCCCCCUAAAUUGAACAAGAGAAGAAAAAUAUUAGUACGAAAAAAUAAAUUAAGAAUAAUGAAAUAUUAAAAAUAAAAUAAAAAUUAUUUUAUUAUUACCUGCCGUCGUGCAUCCAUCCUAUAGGAGAAGGGCCUGGAACCUGAAUGAUGGAGAAGAGUCUUCUUCUUCCUAUUGCCCUUAUUGACUUUGGCUUUAUUCUGUUAUACAAAAAAUAAAACGUAUUAGUUGAAAUUGAAAUUAAAUAUAAAAAAUUAAAAAAACAUUAGUAAGAAAAAUAUAAAUUUGAAAUUCAUAUUACAAAUUACCACAAAAGCGGGCGCCUGAAAAUGAGCUUAGAGCCACGCACAACUAUCCUCCCGCCCCUCAAGCUCCUUCGGGCAACCCUCCUGUAGAGCGACUUGCGGAUCAUCAAACGCCUCAAAAUAGUGGUGCAAGUCGCUCUUCCACUGUUUGUACCUCUCAGAGAAGAGUCUGUUAACGUACGCCAACGACUCGUUGUCGAGGUCCUCCAAGUUGUAGUUCGUCUGCAAUAAAUUAAUUACAUACAUUUAAAUAAUAGAAAUAUAAAGUUUGAAAGAAAAAGAAUUAAAAGGCCUACAUACCGACAACUGGCCGCGAACCUCCGUCUUGAUCUCAUCAGGCAUGACCUUCCAAGACUUCCUCCAAGUUGUAGUUCGUCUGCAAUAAAUUAAUUACAUACAUUUAAAUAAUAGAAAUAUAAAGUUUGAAAGAAAAAGAAUUAAAAGGCUUACAUACCGACAACUGGCCGCGAACCUCCAUCUUGAUCUCGUCAGGCAUGACUUUCCAAGACUUCCAUUUCAUCGGGCAAUGGCUCCGAACCACAUGACCAAUGUCGUGGGCCAAGGAGCUAUGCAACUCCGCCAUCGGUGCAGCCCGAUGUCGCUCGUCAUAUCCGAUGUUGAUACGACUGUUGGUCACCCGGGUGACCUUCGCCGUCUUCAACUGCCAACACGGCCCUCUGGUGUUCUUCUUGGCUGCAAAGAAAGAUGACAUUAAUGUUAAAUAAAUAACAAAUUUAACUAUAAAAUACACACAAAAACAAAAACAAAAACAAAAAUCAAAACAAAAAUCAAAACAAAAAUAAAAAGAACUAGAGUUUAAGGAAAUCUAUACCUGGCUGUGACCCCGAUGCAUCAGUCGAUGUGGUGUCGGUGGUGCUGGCUGGCCGAUGACGCCGCCUGGCGCUAACAGGCUGCGCCACUGAUGAAGCCGAUGAAACAGGUGCCUGGGACCCCGCGGGACCAACUGCCAAGUGGUCCAUCAGUGUUGGCGCAGUGGCAGCAGAUGUCGGCUGAGCCGGAUGCUCCGAACUCUGUGUAGUCGUCACCGCCCUACGACGUCUAAUCAGGUCUGACAUCUGCACAAUUUCAUUAAUACACAUACAAAUUAAUAAAAUAUAUGAAUAUUUGAAAGCACAUACAAUUUUAUUAAGAUUCUUGACCUAGGGUUUGCGAGUUUGGAGUAUCCGGGACUCCGAUCCACGAUCCGUCGAAUCCUAGAUGAUCCUAGAAAUACAAGGUACACUAUACGUGAGUUUGAGUUCGAUCCAACGGUCUGAACAUAACAAACCCGGAAAUCUCACAAUAGGCAAAAUCCAUUCGAGACUCCAACAGCAACCAAAUUCCAAUCCGAAAAGACCUACGCGCUCGUGACAACUAAGGGAUUGCACUGGGACCCAAUGCAUGACUGCUAUAGUAUCCCACGCGCCACCACACGCGCCGGCAGCGCGUGGGUGUCCAAAGAGAUACCAAUCGCCGGAAAAUUCUAAAAGCUAAGGGCCAGGGUUCCUACCUUAGGUUGAAAACAUCAAUUGGAGCCAUUAUUGUUCUCGAACCUACCCCGAAAAAUGGCAAGAAGCGGUCGGAAUUGAAAUUCAAAAACCGACCGAAACUUAGGGUUUAAAAUCGAUUGUCGUAUUGCUACAAUUACUGAAAUCCUACCCAACCAUCAGCUAAAGCAUCAAAAAUAGUCCAGAAACCAUACCUCAGGUGUCGGAUUUGGUCGCCGGAGGAGAGAGAAUGAGGGCAGCGAAGAUUCGGUGAAAACUGAGCAAAUUCUAGCGGCUGGCUCGACGGUGACGGCGGGGAAGCUCCGGGGUACCAGGGUUGUGGCGGCGCGGUCCAAAUUCCACUGGGGUAGGGGGCUGAGCUGACAGCGGAGAGAGAGAGAGAGAGUUAGGGCAAAAAUCAGAAUCUGGGGAAGAAGGAGGUCAUCACGUUGUUUCUGAAAUUUUAUUCAAUUUUGCGCAACGAAUAAAUAAAAGCGUCGCGCAAAAUAUUUUAAAUGACUCUUGCGCGACGACAUAAGUAUAACUUCCGUCGCGUAAUAUUGUGAGUCCGGCAAAAUUUGGUAUUAGGGUAGGGUUGAGCGGUUUUGCGCGACACAUAGACAUGUGUUUCGUCGCGCAAGGUUGUCAUUCUGCCAAAAUUUUGGGACUUAGGGUUUAGCAGGAGAGAGAAAAGUGAAAACUUUGCGCGACGCUGUCCGUAUUCGUUGCGCAAUGUUGUAAUUCUGCCAAAAUUUGGGGUUUAGGGUUUAUUGGGGCAGAGAGAUUGCGUGACGAAUAUGGACAGCGUCGCGCAAGUCUGCUUUCUGUACACUCGAAAAAAAUUUGGACCAAGUGUUCAAGGGGGAAGAGGGUGAAAGGGCUGACUGAGAUUGCGCGACGACGAAAUAAAAAGUUCGUCGCGCAAGAUUGUUUUCUGCACACUUUGUGCGACAAAUCAACGUUAUUCGUCGCGCAAUGUUGUAAUUCGCCAAAAUUUGGGGUUUAGGGUUUCUUGGGCAGAGAGAUUGCGCGACGAAUAUGGACAGCGUCGCCCAAGUCUACUUUCUGUACACUCGAAAAAAAUUUGGACCAAGUGUUCAAGGGGGAAGAGGGUGAAAGGGCUGACUAAGAUUGCGCGACGACGAAGUAUUAAGUUCGUCGUGCAAGACUGUUUUCUGCAGGCUUUGUGCGACAAAUCAACGUCAUUCGUCCCGCAAUGUUGUAAUCCGGCCAAAAUUUGGGGUUUAGGGUUUAUUGGGGCAGAGAGAUUGCGCGACGAAUAUGGGACAGCGUCGCGCAAGUCUGCUUUCUGUACACGCGAAAAAAAUUUGGACCAAGUGUUCAAGGGGGAAGAGGGUGAAAGGGCUGACUGAGAUUGCGCAACGACGAAGUAAUAGGUUCGUCGUGCAAGACUGUUUUCAGCACACUUUGUGCGACCAAUCAACGUUAUUCGUCGCGCAAACCCUAAACCCUAAACCCUAAACCGCGGAAAGCCUAAACCCGAAACUAGUUUCAAUGAUCCAACCGGCAAACUUGUUUUUUUAUACUUCGAGAUCGUAUACGCCGAAAAUCGGAAAAAACAAACAUUAAGAGAUCAAUUAACGGGACAAAACUUUUCGACGGUUCUAAAUGAAAAGUCAUGAUUUAACGGUUAUUUUAACUCCGAUUUUUAUGGUUUUUUACAGCUACAUUUCUUGAGCCUAUAUGAAUACAAUUACUGAAUUUGAUCUUCAAUUUAAAAUGUUUACACUAGGGGGAUACCACAUAAUCUUAUGUUAUAUUUAAUGAAAGUAUAAAUAAACUCUUCCUUGUUGGUGAAUAUAUGGUUUUGAUGGCAUACGCAUUCUACCAAACUAGUUUCAGUAAUCCAGCCGUCAAACUUGUUUGUUUAUACUUCGAGAUCUUAGACCCUAAAAAUUAAAAAAAAAAACAUUCAGAGAUCAAGUAACGGGAUAAAACUUUUCAACGGUUAUAAAUGAAAAGUCAUGAUUUAACGGUUAUUUUAACUCCGAUUUUGAUGAUUUUUUACAGCUACACUCCUUGAACCUAUAUGAAUACAAUGAACUAACUCGAUCGUCAAUUUCAAAUAUACAUGUGUAUAUAUAUUAUAUUAUAAAAUAAUAUAUAUUUGCGCGACGAGAGGUACCUUGUCGUCGCGCAAAAUUUCAUCGCGUGACGGAUGUUAGGUUGUCGGGUAAUGUUUUAACUUUACGCGACGAGUGUAUUGUGGGUCGCGCAAACUAUGCGCCUCAUCGCGCAAGGAUUUCGCGCCAUUUACUUAUUUAGGUCAAAUUGUGUAUCAUUUUCAUUUUUUAAAAAUGUUUGGUGUCAAUAAAUUUCAAACUUUGUAUGAAAAGGGUUUAGAUAUAUUUAUUUAUCAAUGUUUUAUAACAAUUUUUUUUUUCAUUUUUCAUUUUUUUGUGUAUGUCAAUUUUUUUAAUAAUGUCUCACGCUUUUGUUGUUGCAUUGACCUAACUCGAUUGUUCUUUUUCUUUUAUAAAGUGAAGUGAUAAACUUUCAUAAACUCAUGAAAAGUCGAUCAAAGUUAGAAUUGGAUUGUUUAUCAUUUUCAUUUUGUAAAAGUGUUUUGUCAAAAUAAAUUUAAAAAUUAUUGUUAAAAGGGUUUGGAUAUAUUGAUUUACCAUGUUUUAUAACUAAAUUUAUUUUAAUAAUGUUUCAUUUCUCCACAUAUAUAAGGUUUGGAUAUAACAACUACAUAUAUUCAAACAUUUGUAUUACACAAAAUCUGUACACUAGCAUAAUAAAAUUACAAAAAAAUUCAUUAUUCAUCAUCUGAACUAUAAUAACUUUCGUUAUCGUCGCUAUCAUCACUUUCGGUCUCCCAAUCCUCCUCCUCCUCCUCUAUAGCUACAUCAUCAUUGUUGCUUGGGCCCACUGCAACAUCGAAUCUCAGAAGAUCACUGAGGUCAAUUGUAAUUGACUGAAUCGGUAUUUCUAUUGAAGACACUCCUUGUAUUUGAAAUGGUUCUUGUAUAACAUGUGUAUUUCGAAGUGUUUCCGCAUCAUUUUUCAUUGAAGAUUCUAAAUGUUGGUCAGCCACAUUGUCGACGUCGUUGUCAGUUGGGUCUAGUUCUGGUAUAGCAUACACAUUCCUAUGAUCCAUCUUCUGAACAACUUUCCAACUGCACCCGGCUUUAGGGUCAUCUAGAUACACAAUUUGUGUUGCCAUGUUUGCUAAAAUGUAAGGGUCGUCAUCAUACCAAGUUCUGUUAAUGUUCACAGAUAGUAAGCCAUGGUCGAUUUUAACACUUCCCGGCCUAUUUGGGUUGCUAUCAAACCAUCGACACUUAAACAUGAUCACUUGGUAUGGAUCUUUGUAAAGCAAUUGAACGACAGUUGUGAGUUUGUCAUAGAAAUCAAUGUUCGUACUUUCGCCUCCACCUGGGACAUGGACACCGCUGUUUUGCGUACACAACUUGUCAUCUCGUGCAGCCCCCAAAAAUUUGACGCCAUUAAUACAACAACCCGAAAACAAUUCAGCGCGAAUCGGGCCGAACGCCAAGUUAUAUAACUCAUCACUGUAAGUGGGGGAAUUCGAUGAUUUCAACUUAUUCACUAAUAUAAUACAAAACCAUUCACAGGUUAGUUUGACAAAAUUAAAUACUACAAUUUAUAUGUGUCAAAUACAAAACACUUAUAACUUACAGAAUCCAAAAACCAUUGUGGAAACAAUUCACGGUGUUUUUGGGCAUCUCUUCAUGCUCAUCUAAGUAUGUCAUUAUCUCAUCACAAUUGUUCAGUACGAACCAAUGCGCUACCUCCAUGUCAUUUCUAGAAAACGACUCUCCUCGUCCAGGAUCUCCAAAGGGUCGUGCGCUUUGGGCAAAACAGAAGGUUUUUCCUUUCUCAUACCUCCGUCAUUAUUGCGCUGAGGACGAUUGAAAGCCGUCUCCACAUCUUUUAAAUACAUUCCACAGAAAGUAAACGACUCAUAUUGAACCCAAGCCUCUAUAAUUGAUCCUUCGGGCUUCGCCCUAUUGCGUACACUUUUUUUCAGCUCUCCAAGAAGCCUGUCAAAAUAAAACGAUAUGAUACAAAUUAGCAAGCCUGUGAUAAUGAUGCAUACAUAAACGAUAAGGAUUAUAUACCUUUCUAUUAGAUACAUCCAGCGAUAGUUGAUAGGACCAGCAAGCAAUGCCUCUUCUGGCAAGUGAACCAUCACGUGCAUCAUACUUUUAAAGAAUGCUGGAGGAAAUAUCAUCUCAAACUUGCAUAGGACUUGGAUAAUUUCAUGGCGCAACUGAAACAUGUCUGUCUUUCGCAAUGUUUUUGCCGUCAGUUGGGAAAAAAAUCUGGACAAUAACAUGAUUGGCUUCACAACAUCUUCCGGCAAUAGAUGUCGAAUACCCACAGGAAGUAGGCAUUGCAUAAACACAUGGCAGUCAUGGCUCUUCAGUCCAGUAAAUUUACCCCCGUCAACAUUCACGCAACGUGCGAUAUUAGAAGCAUACCCAUCAGGAAACUUUACAGACGAUACAAACUUUAGAAACUCUUUUUUGUCAUUCGGUUUCAUAGCAAAGAAUGCCAGAUCCCUUCUAGCUUUAUCACUGUCCCUGUUAUCCAUAAACCCCUUCGUAUGCCCAUUCUUUCUAAAUCAAGACGGGCUUUGAUUGUGUCCUUUGUCUUGCCCUCGAUAUCUAGAAUCGUGCCCACCAAUGUGUCAAAUACAUUUUUCUCAACAUGCAUCACAUCUAGAUUGUGCCUCAAUUUGAGUUUCGACCAAUAUGGGAGCUCAAAAAACAUAGGCUUGUGAGUCCAGUUCAUAUGUGUAGAAGGUCUGGUCCGACUAACUGUUUUUCCGAACGGAGUAAAAUCCAAACGGUUAAGCUGUUCCAAGAUCUCAUCACUGGACCAUUCUCUAGGUCUGAGGUGACGCUCUGUGUUCCUGUCGAACUCUUUAUCUUUUUCCCGCCACUCGUGUUCCCAUGGCAAACAUCUCCGAUGACCAAGGUAACAAACUUUUCCCGCGUGCCAACCAGAAGUUACAUCUUCCUUGCAUACAGAACAUGCCAUAUAACCCUUUGUGCUCCACCCAGAAACCAUUGCAUAUGCUGGAAAAUCAUUCACAGUCCACAUAACUGCUGCCCGCAAAGUGAACAUCUUACCAGUUGAUUUAUCGUACGUGCGAACACCGUUUGUCCAUAAAUCCUUCAGCUCAUCAACCAGCGGCCUUAAGUAAACAUCGAUUGACCUCCCAGGAUCCUUAGUUAUCAAAACAGUCAUCAUCAUGUAUUCUUUUUUCAUGCAUUUCCAAGGCGGCAAAUUAUAUGGGAACACGAAAAUCGACCAAGUGCUGUGAUGUUGGUUUAGAACCCCAUACGGAUUGAAUCCGUCAGUGGCAAGUCCCAAUCUCACAUUUCGGGGAUCAGCAGCAAACUCGGGGAAAGUUCGAUCUAACUCUUUCCAUGCCUUCCCAUCUGCAAGAUGCCGCAUCACAUCAUCAUCUACCCGUUUUUCCUUGUGCCAUCUCAGGUCUGUGGCAGUAUGCGUCGACAUAUACAAUCGCUGCAACCUAGGUUUCAGGGGCAGAUAACGCAUGACUUUUAAUGGGAUCUUAGUCGUUCUAUUCUGAGAUGUCAUUUUGAACCUCGACUCAUUGCAUAUAGGGCAUGUAUCCAACAUUUCAUGCUCCUUGUAGAAUAACAUGCAAUUAUUUUUGCAAACAUGGAUUUUUUCAUAACCCAAUCCAAGACCAUUCAACACCUUCUGCGCAUGUUUAUGGUCUUUCGGCAAAUAAUUGUCCAUCAUAAGCAUUCUCUUGAAAACCCCCAAAAAGUAAUCGAAACACAGGUUCGACAUACGAUACUUUAUUUUUCCGUGCAUUAGCUCUACAAUGGCCUUGAGAACGGAAAAGCUCUCGCACCCCGGGUAUAACUCUUGGUUGGCAUUUUUUAACAGUUUUUCAUAAUGUUCAAACUCCGCAUUGUCUAUUGGUGUAGGCACGUCAUCUUCCCUUUCGUGAUUGAUGUUGGUCGAUUCAAAUGGAAAAGCAUCCUGUAUAAUAUCCAUGACUUGAUCAUUAGGAUCCACAAUAGGUUCAACACUGUCCAUUCUUGUGGCAUUUGAAGACGAAGCAUGGUCUAAUUGUUCCCCAUGAAUGUUCCAAAUGCUAUAUGUCUCAAUCAUUCUAUUCCUUACCAAAUGAAAUCCAACAUUUUCAAUUGUCUCCCACAACGUGUUAUUACACCUCCUACAAGGACAUCGGAUUCUAGUUGCAUUCGGGUUGUGUCUACGUGCAAACUCAAUAAAAUCCUCAAUCUCAUCCAAGUAUUCGUCUGCACAUCUAUUCGGGUUCUGUAUCCACCUUCUGCUCAUAAUUCCUGAAACCACAAUCACAACUUAACAAUCACAACAACUUCAUACGAAGUUAUAAUGUCACCUUAUGCCUCCGAUAAUGGCCCUAUCCCAUUCAGGAAUGCAUAGUCCUGUCACGUAACCUACGGCUACAUGAGAUUAGAUUUCGACAUGGAUGAAUUUCGGCAGCAUCUCGAUACAGUUCUUGAGGUGGGCAUAGGUAUAAAUACCUACGUACUACCCGAAGAACGUACCGAAAUGACAUCGAAAUCUCCACAAUCGAAACCUAAUCAUGUAGCCGUAGAUUACGUGACAACACUAUGUAUUACCAAACUAUCCAAAUAGUGGGACAAUUCAAGAAUUAAUUAGACCGCAGUCAUGCUUUACGCAUCCAUGUACGAAAUCCAACUAAUCUCGAACGGGAAACUAAGUGUUACUAAACAUACAAAUAAAAGUAUGAAGUUAAUUUCAAUUAACUUCGUACAUCACAACACAUUGUGCUACGUCACGUACAAUUUAACAACAUAAUAUAAAUAUAACUUCACAAAAAAAAUAUAAACAUAACAAACUAACUUUAACAUUUUUAAUAUAUAAAACGAAUAAAAUACCUUCUCAAUCGUUCUCCACUAAUCGCUAAUUACAAAUAUCCCUAACGAGAAGAAAAUUAAUAGCGUUAGUACGAAUUUACAUUAAUACUUUUAAACUAACGACAAAAAAUACUUACCCAAUGAACGUACUGAAUUUCCAGCAGAGGCAGCGGCAGAGAGGUUGAGAGAGAGGCAGAAACAAAAUUUUUUUGCAUUCUGCCUCUGCAAUGGCAGAAUUCUGAUAUGAAGAAGGACUUUGCGCGACGAAAUGAAUGGUCCGUCGCGCAAACUGCCGUUGCGAAAAACCAUUUUUCCGUUGCACAAAACGAUUUUUUUUGUCGCGCAAAAACUUGUCGACAAAAAACUUUUGUGCCACGCAUGAUAUUUUCGUCGCACAAGAAUGUACCGACAUCAAACUUUACGCAACGAAAACUAAUUCCGUCGUGCAAAAAAAAAAAAAAAUCCCCCCCUAAAUUAUUUUGGCGCCAAAAAAAAAAUAUCCCUUGUUUUCUUACGCGACGAUAAACGAUUUCGUCGCACUAAGCUGUCUUAACCUGUCGUCGCACAAGUUUUCGCAGCCAAUUAACGGGAUCCACUGUUUUGUGUUCACCUUUACAGGACGAAGUGUCCCAUCGUCGAGCUAGGUUUUCUUACGCGACGAUUCUUCUCGCCGCACAAGUGUUUGGCCCCAACAAAAAACCAGGGUUUUUUUUGGCUCACUUUGCUCGACGAAGUUAAAUUUCUGUUGCCCUAAGAGGUUUUGCGCUUCGAAAAAUUUGGUUGCGCAAGUUUUCAAUUUUUUGCGCGACGAACCUUUUUUUCCGUCGAUGUAGUGCAUUUUGCGCAACGAACUUGUGUUCGUCGCACAAAAUCUUGUCGCGCAAAUAGCAAAACGUAGUAGUGACUGGAAAUGCUAACAUUUUAACUUAAAUCACAAUGGCAUUGAAAAUAACUUCAACUAUAAAUCCUAUUGUGAAUGCAUGAUUAUGUCAUGAUUUAUCUGAAGUCAAGUUUCUCAUAUCGGUCAAGUCAUGCCUCGGAAGUAUGUGAUUGAAUGCGUUGUGCAAAACGUCCAGUAAACAGUUCUUCACACACUAAUUUCCAACUUAUGCUAGAGUCUAGGAAAUACUAAUGCAGUUUUCGUACAAACAAUCUCUCCCUUUGGCAUUUCCUAGACAAAACACUAGAUUAUAUUAAUAUUUCAGACAUGUUUACACGAAUAACCUACACAUCCUACUUUACUUUACCAAACAAAUAUCCAGUUCUUGUAAUUUCUGCACACCAACAAAUAGACUACCAGUGAAGCAUAAUAGAUUUGAAACAAUAAGAAACAGAAUUUGGCACAAUUAAACAACAAUCCUUCAUAUGUAAGGAGGUUAAGAAAUUUACUACAAGUUCUGAUCCCAUAGACAAAACAGAAAGUUAUCUCCUCAUAAAUAUCAUGUUUCUACUUUUGAUAGUCAAAUUACUCCCCCUAAAUCCCAUAUGUAAUACAAAAUAUUCUCUCCUUUUUUUGUGUAGGAAAUCCAAAGGGACACAGAGAUAACUACAAAAGAUGAACAAAUCCAAAAGCGGAACAGAUGAACCUUAGAGGCUGCCAGCCCGAGUAGGACGAGGAGGAUCAGGUGGCUGAAUGUGCCCAGCCGGUGUCAACAAUAGCUCACCAUAGGUGUUAAGACGAUCCCAGAUGCGGUGAAGAAGUGCAUGCGUCACUUGAUGGGAUGUAGAGAGCAAUUCUAAAAGGGCAUGUUCCUCGAUGGAGAAAUCACCAUAAGUACAGUGAGCAUCGUUGCGAUGUAAAGUAACCUGAUUGUUGACUUUGAUGAUGUCGGAAGAGCCAAUAUCAUCUGUAGACAGUGCAGGGACACCAGCAUGAGCAGCCAAAGCUGUGAUAGUUCGAAGUAGAACAAGACUUGCUAUUGAAACAAUGGCAUUUGUGGCACCAGCGGCAAUGAGGCUUUCACGGAUAUAGAACUCAACAUUGACAAAUUGCUUAAUCACAAGCUGGAAGACAAUAUAUGAGCAGCAUUCAAACUCACUUUCCCAUGCUAGGAAGUGGGAUUCAGAUAGUUGCGCACAAGCAUAUAUAGAGUACGCAUCCACAGAGAUAUCAUACCAUAUGAGAGCUCGGUGGGGAGCACCUCAGGCGGAGACACAUAGAGUCGAUUCACCAGUUGACGAUGAAGAAGAAAAUUUCUGGAACUGGCUCACAAGAACUACCAGAGCGAAUAGGAGCCAGACCAAGGGCAGCUGAAAUAAAGUGGAAAUUGAAUAGAAUAGGAAUCCCACGCACACACAACAAGUCCGGACAGAGCAGCAGAGGUAGUGAAGACAUCGGGAAAAUUAGCAUAAAAUUCACGAACAAUCUGGAAGUUGGCCAGCGGCAACCCACGAACCAAUUACAAGAGACGAUGCCACGAGAGAAAGUCUAUGAAUGUGUAGCCAAAUCUAGAGAGAUCAAAGUCCUCUUCAAUUAGUAGGGGACGAUGAUAGACCACAGUAGUGUAGCGGUGAGAGCAUGCCGGAGACACGAAGUGUGAGAUCGGCGGAUGGUGGGAAGCAAGAGGAUCUGUGCUGGAAUACGAGCACAGUGACGAGGAAGGUCGUGAUCGAGACGCAUCAGGCGUGACGACCGAAGAAGAAUCAGCAGCAGAUCGACUGUGCAUGAGGCGAGGAGGGCUGUGGUCAGGGGCGGAGGAGGAGGAAGGUCAGCGGCUUUGAGUGGUAACCAUAAUGAGGUGAUGGAGGUAAGAUGUGAUGAGUAGUGGAAGACAAGAAGCUUUGGGUGGCGGCAAUAGGUGUUGAGGUUUGAAUUGGAUGAGGAAGAAGACAACCCUG